CCAGCCUUGCUCUGCCCCAAUGCCACACACUUCACGAUGGCCACCACCACCUCCACCACUACCUUCGCCAACUCUGCAUCCCCAUUCUCCACCACACUGGGUACAAACCCCCCCAUCUCCCCCAAAUCCAAACCUCUAAGCCUCUCCAAAACCGCAAACCCUUCAUUUUCUGCUUCCUUGUAAAAUCCACAAGCUUCCAAGCAAUACAGCAACCUCACCCUCUGUA
Molecule: unclassified non-coding RNA, 226 nt
Filed under: Hevea brasiliensis (rubber tree)
Lineage: Eukaryota; Viridiplantae; Streptophyta; Magnoliopsida; Malpighiales; Euphorbiaceae
Source: RNAcentral